CAGCCUGAUGCAGCGACGCCGCGUGGAAGGGGAUGGGAAGGGCCUUCGGGUUGUAAACCUCUUUUAUCGGGGAGCAAGCGUUGAGUUGAGUUUACCCGUUGAAUAAGCACCGGCUAACUACGUGCCAGCAGCCGCGGUAUAC
RNAcentral lists this ribosomal RNA (142 nucleotides) under Bifidobacterium longum subsp. suis. RNAcentral's name for it is "partial 16S ribosomal RNA". It matches the Rfam family "Bacterial small subunit ribosomal RNA", at positions 379 to 526 of the family's 1533-position model. The record is from RNAcentral. Lineage: Bacteria; Bacillati; Actinomycetota; Actinomycetes; Bifidobacteriales; Bifidobacteriaceae.